GAUGAACGCUGGCGGCGUGCUUAACACAUGCAAGUCGAACGGGAAAUAUUUCAUUGAGACUUCGGUGGAUUUGAUCUAUUUCUAGUGGCGGACGGGUGAGUAACGCGUGGGUAACCUGCCUUAUACAGGGGGAUAACAGUCAGAAAUGGCUGCUAAUACCGCAUAAGCGCACAGAGCUGCAUGGCUCAGUGUGAAAAACUCCGGUGGUAUAAGAUGGACCCGCGUUGGAUUAGCUAGUUGGUGGGGUAACGGCCCACCAAGGCGACGAUCCAUAGCCGGCCUGAGAGGGUGAACGGCCACAUUGGGACUGAGACACGGCCCAGACUCCUACGGGAGGCAGCAGUGGGGAAUAUUGCACAAUGGGGGAAACCCUGAUGCAGCGACGCCGCGUGAAGGAAGAAGUAUCUCGGUAUGUAAACUUCUAUCAGCAGGGAAGAUAGUGACGG
Molecule: ribosomal RNA, 446 nt
Filed under: uncultured bacterium
Lineage: Bacteria
Description: bacterial SSU rRNA
Rfam family: Bacterial small subunit ribosomal RNA
Source: RNAcentral